CAGUAGCCGCGGUAAUACGUAGGUGGCAAGCGUUGUCCGGAAUUAUUGGGCGUAAAGGGCUCGCAGGCGGUUUCUUAAGUCUGAUGUGUAAGCCCCCGGCUCAACCGGGGAGGGUCAUUGGAAACUGGGAAACUUGAGUGCAGAAGAGGAGAGUGGAAUUCCACGUGUAGCGGUGAAAUGCGUAGAGAUGUGGAGGAACACCAGUGGCGAAGGCGACUCUCUGGUCUGUAACUGACGCUGAGGAGCGAAAGCGUGGGGAGCGAACAGGAUUAGAUACCCGCGUAGUCCCUGUCUCUUAUAC
Molecule: ribosomal RNA, 301 nt
Filed under: uncultured bacterium
Lineage: Bacteria
Description: partial 16S ribosomal RNA
Rfam family: Bacterial small subunit ribosomal RNA
Source: RNAcentral